CAGCAGCCACGGUAAUACGGAGGAUCCAAGCGUUAUCCGGAAUCAUUGGGUUUAAAGGGUCCGUAGGCGGUCUUGUAAGUCAGUGGUGAAAGCCCAUCGCUCAACGGUGGAACGGCCAUUGAUACUGCAGGACUUGAAUUAUUGGGAAGUAACUAGAAUAUGUAGUGUAGCGGUGAAAUGCUUAGAGAUUACAUGGAAUACCAAUUGCGAAGGCAGGUUACUACCAAUUGAUUGACGCUGAUGGACGAAAGCGUGGGUAGCGAACAGGAUUAGAGACCCGUGUAGUCCCUGUCUCUUAUAC
This 301-nucleotide ribosomal RNA is filed under the name uncultured bacterium. RNAcentral's name for it is "partial 16S ribosomal RNA". It matches the Rfam family "Bacterial small subunit ribosomal RNA", at positions 509 to 807 of the family's 1533-position model. The record is from RNAcentral.